This 167-nucleotide ribosomal RNA is filed under the name uncultured rumen bacterium. RNAcentral describes it as "partial 16S ribosomal RNA". It matches the Rfam family "Bacterial small subunit ribosomal RNA", at positions 340 to 524 of the family's 1533-position model. The record is from RNAcentral.
UACGGGAGGCAGCAGUGGGGAAUAUUGCGCAAUGGAGGAAACUCUGACGCAGUGACGCCGCGUGCAGGAAGAAGGUUUUCGGAUUGUAAACUGCUUUAGACAGGGAAGAAAAAGACAGUACCUGUAGAAUAAGCUCCGGCUAACUACGUGCCAGCAGCCGCGGUAAU